CUUACACAUGCAAGUCGAGCGGGCGUAGCAAUACGUCAGCGGCAGACGGGUGAGUAACGCGUGGGAACGUACCUUUUGGUUCGGAACAACCCAGGGAAACUUGGACUAAUACCGGAUAAGCCCUUACGGGGAAAGAUUUAUCGCCGAAAGAUCGGCCCGCGUCUGAUUAGCUAGUUGGUGAGGUAACGGCUCACCAAGGCGACGAUCAGUAGCUGGUCUGAGAGGAUGAUCAGCCACAUUGGGACUGAGACACGGCCCAAACUCCUACGGGAGGCAGCAGUGGGGAAUAUUGGACAAUGGGCGAAAGCCUGAUCCAGCCAUGCCGCGUGAGUGAUGAAGGCCCUAGGGUUGUAAAGCUCUUUUGUGCGGGAAGAUAAUGACGGUACCGCAAGAAUAAGCCCCGGCUAACUUCGUGCCAGCAGCCGCGGUAAUACGAAGGGGGCUAGCGUUGCUCGGAAUCACUGGGCGUAAAGGGUGCGUAGGCGGGUCUUUAAGUCAAGGGUGAAAUCCUGGAGCUCAACUCCAGAACUGCCCUUGAUACUG
Molecule: ribosomal RNA, 543 nt
Filed under: uncultured bacterium
Lineage: Bacteria
Description: bacterial SSU rRNA
Rfam family: Bacterial small subunit ribosomal RNA
Source: RNAcentral